RNAcentral lists this small nuclear RNA (136 nucleotides) under Chinchilla lanigera (long-tailed chinchilla). Its description in RNAcentral is "U4 spliceosomal RNA (ENSCLAG00000020619.1)". It matches the Rfam family "U4 spliceosomal RNA". Rfam says of the family: U4 small nuclear RNA (U4 snRNA) is a component of the major U2-dependent spliceosome. The structure of U4 snRNA from yeast and human has been reported. Lineage: Eukaryota; Metazoa; Chordata; Mammalia; Rodentia; Chinchillidae. The record is from Rfam by way of RNAcentral.
AGCUUUGCAUAGUGGCAGUAUCAUAACCCAUGAGGGUUAUCUGAGGCACAAUUAUUGCUAAUUGAAAACUAGUUUUGUAAGAAACUGAAGCUGUCUUCCAAAAUGGCUGCUCCAUUUUUGCAUCCCCACUAGUGAU